Lotus japonicus is the source of this 541-nucleotide long non-coding RNA. RefSeq lists it as uncharacterized. The record is from RefSeq and is a predicted model, not a curated record. The transcript has 3 exons. NCBI's taxonomy places the organism in Eukaryota, Viridiplantae, Streptophyta, Magnoliopsida, Fabales, Fabaceae.
CUCUGAAAUUUAACCCUAGAAUAUAAGCCAAUUCAAUUCACUCUCCCUCCAUCGUUACCCUAGCUCGCCGCUGCUGCGCUGCAUGUCUUCGUCCCUCUCCCUCCAUCGUUCAUCCACUCUCCUCUCUGGAGGGUAACCGAAGCAAGGGCUAAGGAUAUCAUCUUUUGACUGAAGACUUCAUACUUCUGAGUUCUGAGAGCACUUUGUCUGAAAUGAAGAAAUCUAGGCAGUGUUUGACGGCACCAAUGCCUUUACCAACUGAAACCGACAAUCCCCCAACUGCUACACAGCCAUCCAAUGCCACCCCAGCUGAAGGAGGUGCUUCUGGUGGAGAUCAGCCUUCUACUCAACAGAAGCAAACAUCUACUGCUGAAGCUACGAUAACUGAUCCCGCUCCUAAAAGUAAAAAGAAGCGAAGACAAAAUGCUAGUGGCUCUCGGAAGUCUUCUUCUAUAUGGGAUCACUUCACCCAUGUACCUGAUAUUGAGGUUGAUGAGACGACUGCAGCUUGUAAUUAUUGUGGUAAGAGGUAUUUAGCUGA